RNAcentral lists this long non-coding RNA (1356 nucleotides) under Carassius auratus (goldfish). RNAcentral describes it as "lncRNA (ENSCARG00000040168.1)". Lineage: Eukaryota; Metazoa; Chordata; Actinopteri; Cypriniformes; Cyprinidae. The record is from RNAcentral.
UUAUCAUCACCAGUAUUUGUCAUCUGUCAGUUAAAACAUACUGGUAAAUAUUCAGAUUGAAACUGAAAUGUUUCUCUUUAUGCAGUCUGAAGAACAACUGUUUUUACAGAAGGAGGUUGUCAUGUUCUGGCUGCAGCUCUAAAUUCAAACCCUCAAAUCUGACAGAGCUGGAUCUGAGUGAGAAUAAACUAGGAAACCCAGGAAUGAAAAUCAUCUUGACUCUGUUUGAAAAUGUAAAAGUGUAGACUGGAAAAGCUGAAGUUAAACUGCAUCAGUAUUACAGCUGAAGGUUGUGCUGCUCUGGCAUCAGCAUUUAAUUCAAACCUCAAAGAGCUGGAUCUGAGCAGGAAUCAAUUAGGAGACUCUGGAGUGACAGAAAUCUCCAGUCUGCUGAGAAAUUCACAGACACUACAGAUACUCAGGUCUGAAUUUGGUUAAUUUAAACAUAAAUCAAUGUAAAGCUCCAGCCGGUCUGUAAACUGGUGCUGUGUCACAAGGAAUGGGUCAUUAAUGUGAAAUUGGUGUGUUGGUGUAGAUACAUUUAUAACAUAUUGACAAACAGAUUGAUUUUUGAGGUGAUGGGAAAUGUUAAUAUCAUAAUAGUGUAUUAAAUGUUUUUAAUGUGACUUAUUUAUUUAGUCUUUCUGAAGACUUUCAGACUGCAGUAUCACUAAAGAAGGUUAUAAUACAGUUGCAAUCAAAUUAUUCAACCCCCCUUGUGGUGCAAAACAUUUUGCUGCAGAGAACAACAUUUUAUAAAAACAAUUCAACAAAGGCAUCAGUAAAGUAUUAGAGAAAGUUUGUUAAUAUACUUUUGAAUGAGUCUGAGAAUGUAACAUUGAUGAAUCAUGAUGAAAUUCAAAUUGGAUCUAAACAUUUGUUCAAAUUGUGUGCAGAAUCUUUUAUUCUUUAAAAUCACCAAGAAACACUGCCUUUAAGUGUUUAGAAGUUUCUGUCACCUCUCUACUACAGUCUUGGCCCAUUCCUCGCCUGAAAAAGCUUCCAGAUCACUGAUAAUCUUUGGUUUUCACAAUGCCACAGCUUUCCUUAAAUUCAACCAGAUAUUUUCAAUGAGAAUUAAAUCUGGAGACUGAUUAAGCCACUCAAGAACAUUCUAUGACUGAUCCCUGAACCAAGCAGAAGUAGAUUUGGAUGAUGUACUUUGGGAUGGCUGUCCUGCAGGAAAGUCCAUUGAUCAUCAGCUUCAGUCUUUGCACCAAAGGAAUCACAAUUCUUGUCAAAAUGGCCUGAUACUUUAAAGAAUCCAUAAUGUCCUUCAUACAGUCAUGAUUUCCACUUCCUGCUACAGUAAAACACCCCCAUAACAGGCCUGAUCCACUUCCAAGUUUGACGAAG